UACGUAGGGGGCUAGCGUUGUCCGGAAUCAUUGGGCGUAAAGAGCGUGUAGGCGGCCAGGUAGGUCUGCUGUGAAAACUCGAGGCUCAACCUCGAGACGUCGGCGGAAACCAUCUGGCUAGAGUCCGGAAGAGGAGAGUGGAAUUCCUGGUGUAGCGGUGAAAUGCGUAGAGAUCGGGAGGAACAUCAGUGGCGAAGGCGGCCAUCUGGGACAACACUGACGCUGAAGCACGAAAGCGUGGGGAGCGAACAGG
RNAcentral lists this ribosomal RNA (253 nucleotides) under uncultured bacterium. RNAcentral's name for it is "partial 16S ribosomal RNA". It matches the Rfam family "Bacterial small subunit ribosomal RNA", at positions 524 to 776 of the family's 1533-position model. The record is from RNAcentral.